This 200-nucleotide ribosomal RNA is filed under the name uncultured bacterium. RNAcentral describes it as "partial 16S ribosomal RNA". It matches the Rfam family "Bacterial small subunit ribosomal RNA", at positions 8 to 238 of the family's 1533-position model. The record is from RNAcentral.
AGAGUUUGAUCAUGGCUCAGAACGAACGCUGGCGGCAUGCCUAACACAUGCAAGUCGAACGCCCCGCAAGGGGAGUGGCGCACGGGUGAGUAACGCGUGGGAACCUGCCCUGGAGUGGGGGAUAACCGAGGGAAACCUCGGCUAAUACCGCAUACGUCCUGAGGGAGAAAGAUUUAUCGCUCUAGGAGGGGCCCGCGUCG